Molecule: ribosomal RNA, 369 nt
Filed under: uncultured organism
Description: bacterial SSU rRNA
Rfam family: Bacterial small subunit ribosomal RNA
Source: RNAcentral
CGGAGGGUGCAAGCGUUAUUCCGGAUUCACUGGGUUUAAAGGGUGUGUAGCGGGUAUUUAAGUCAGUGGUGAAAUCUCCGAGCUCAAACUCGGAAACUGCCAUUGAUACUAUUUAUCUUGAAUAUUGUUGAGGUAGGCGGAAUAUGUCAUGUAGCGGUGAAAUGCUUAGAUAUGACAUGAACACCGAUUGCGAAGGCAGCUUGCUAAACAAUUAUUGACGCUGAGGCACGAAAGCGUGGGGGAUCAAACAGGAUUAGAUACCCUGGUAGUCCACGCCCUAAACGAUGAUUACUGGACAUUUGCGAUAUACAGUGAGUGUCUGAGCGAAAGCAUUAAGUAAUCCACCUGGGAAGUACGUCCGCAAGGAUG